UUAAGCUUUAAGCAGAUACUAUAAAAGACACAUUACAUUUGGUAUUGAGAAGAGCCCAGCACUCUGACUUGAAAUAACAUGUCUUUUAAGCUUCAGUAUCGAUUACAUUCGCUAAAUGCCAAGUAAAGGCUUGUGGACCUGUGUCAGAUAAAACUCAGGCUUAGUCACAAACAGAAAUAACAUUGUCAAUGGGUCAAAACUCAGGCUUAGUCACAAUAACCUUCAUUAUGUAUGAUGUGCAUGAAAGCAUGCUAAAAAGAGUGAACCAAAACAAAAUCAGAUAAUCAUUAAUAAAAUAAAUUCAUACAAUCCAAAAAAAAAAAUUGAGUUUGAAUAUGUCGUCAACCACAAGCACAACCUAUAGAGAUUUGAGAUGAUUCCCCAAGCAGCCCCAUUCAUAUUAAGCUUUAACAUUAUUUCAAUCCCUCAUUAAGCUUUAACAUCGAUAAUUACUAUGCAUCACCACAUGCUCAACAAAAAAAUAUUAGAUAAAAAAUCAACAAAUUUUAAUAAAUUAAACUUGUGUGAAAGUAAAAUAAAAUGAUAUCAAUAACUUGGUAAAUAUGUAGAGAAAUAAAGUUCAAACAUCACAAGCACAACCAACAGAGAUGUAAAAUGAUCCGCAGGGCUUAAUAACAGUAAGCUACUGAUGAUACAUUUGUAUAUAAUUUAGCAAUAUACAGAGAAAACUCAAGCUUAAACAUGGCAUCAAGCACAUCCUACAAAUAUGUGAGAUGAUCUCCCAGGCUUAAUCAACUGUACGCUAUUGAUAUAUUUGUAAGCUUUACGACCAAUAUAUUACGUGCAUGAAGACAUGGUUAAGAAUUUAUAAUAUAAAAAUAAAAUAAAAGUAUAUCGAUAACUUAGUAAUAUUUUAGAAAAACCAAGUUUUAAGCAUGUCAACAAGAACAAACUACAGAGAUGUGAGUGAUCCCCAGGGCUUAAUCACAGUUAGCUGCUGAUUAUAUACUUUUUCUUUCCCUCUGUAAGCCACAUCAAUGUAUUAUGUGCAAGAAGACAUGGUUUAACAAAACAACUUUAUACAAAAAAUAUGGAACAAUAAUUACAUAAAUAACUUAGUAUCAUAUAGAGAACUUAAGUUUAAACAUGUCAUCAAGCACGUCCUAUAGAGAUGUGAGAUGAUAUCCUGGGCUUAAUCAACUGUAAGCUACAGAUCUAUAUGUAAGCCUCAACAUCAAUAUAUUACGUACAUGAAGACAUGGUUGAAGAAAAUAAAGUUAUACGAAAAAAAAAACAGAAAAAACUUGUAAAAUUAACUUCGUAAUAUAUAAGCCUAUCAUCGAGCAACGUCUACAAGAUGUGAGGUGAUCCCCAGGCCUUACUCAAAGUAAGCUACUGAUACACAAUUUUUAUCCCUCCGUAGUCUUCAACAUCCUUGUAUCACGUGUAUGGUGACAGGCUUAAAAAUAGUAAAUAUAAGAAUAGAAAAUCAUAGCUUUUUUUCGUAAAACUACCCUUGAAAUAUAUAGAGAAUACGUAUAAAUAAGUCUGUCAUAGAGCAAAUACAGAGAUGUGAGAUGGUCCCCAGAUCUUACUCAAUGUAAGCUACUGAUAUAUAUUUGUUAUCCCUCCGUAGUCUUCACAGUUCACAUCACUGUAUUACGUGCAUGGACAGAAAAAAGUAAAUAAAUUUGUACAAAAAAUCAAGAAAAUACAACAAAAAACUUAUAAAAUAUCUUUGUAGUGUAUAGAAAAAACUCAAGUAUAAGCAUGUCAUCAAGCAAAGUGUACAGAGAUGUGAGUUGAUCCCAAGGCCUAAGUCAGAAAUAUAUAUAUAUAUCAACUCCGUCGCGUAGGACUACUUGUAGUCUCCGGCUGUAAUAAUUAAGUAUGCUGAGUUAUGAUAAAUAUAGACUUCGUCGCGUUUUUUCCCGUUUAGCCGCAGGCAGAUGGCCGUUAGGCGUUUAGGGAUUUUGUUCGUUGACUGUUGAAGUUCAUCAUAGUUCUGAAUAUGAGAUUAUUAUUUGCUGUGACAUAAAUCGUUGACUGUUGAAAUUAAUUAUGAAUUAAGAUAUGAAAUAGUUGUCAGUUGUGACUUAAAUCGUUGACUGUCAGUAUUAAUCAUGGAUAUUGAUCUGAAGCAUAUAAUUCUAAGUGUUCUCUUUUCUGAAACAAUUAGUAUGAUAUUAAGAACUGCAUGAUCCCUAACUCCUUAUUGACACGUAUAACCUUCGUGUUAUCUGCUUUUAUUUUAGCUUUUAGAUAAUUCUAAGAUGGGGAAAAUGAUAAGUAUUUUAAUCCUUUAAUCCCUUAUAGGGAAAAAAUUAAAAAGACUAUUUGGAUUUCUUCUAUGAAUAUGAUAGAACCGACAGAUAAAUUUAUCAUUGAUCGAGUAACCAUCAAUAAUGAAUUUAAAAGUUCAAAAUAUGAUGCCUUUCGUAAAUGGUAUUGGGAAAAUUAUAAUAAAGCCCAACAUGAAUUUAUUAAAAAUAGAUAUUAUAAUCAUUUAGAAAAGACUAGAAUUAUUAUUCCUUUUGCACAAUAUGUCCAAAAAAUGAGUAAUAUUCUAGAAUCUUCUGAAGCCAAAGACUAUUUUAAUUAUUGGACUAAUAAUAGUUCUAAAUCUGAAUUAAGUGCUAAGACUUUGACUAAUAAUAAUAUUAUUGAAUUAUCACAGGAUAUUAAUACUGUAUCCAAUAAAAUUGAAAUUAUUGGAAACAAUAAUACCAAUGUCAGACAAGAGGAGGAACAUAGGGAUAUUCCUGUUAAAACUGACAGUGAUAUUAACGACAGUCUAAAGGAUAAGCAUGAUGUCACUCUCAUUUCUUCUAGAAAAGAAAUUAUUGUUUCAAAAUUAACCUCUAGUAAUAAAGUAUUUCACACUCAGAAAUUAACUGAGAACUAUUAUAUAGGGAAAUAUCCUAAUCAAUUUAAUAAUACUAUACGUGUUUUGUCACCUAGUAUUAAAAAUUUUAUUUCUCAAAGAAAAAUCUCUAAGAAAUCUUUUCGUCAGAAAUUUGGAAAUGAUAGUUCUAAUCAAGUAUUUUUCAAACAACAAUUCGUUUCUAAUUUCAAAAAACAAUUUGUUUUUAAUCAAUAUCCGAAAACGAAUAAUUUUACACUGAUUAUUGAUACGAUAAAAAGAGAGUUUAUUUCCUCACAUGAUUUAAUCAGGUUAGUUAAGCCUUUUAAAUGUGAACCCCAUUGUUGGUGUCUGAUGAUUGAUUGGGUCAAUAGUCCUGUGAAUCAUUAAGAAGAUAUAUUAAUCCUCUCCUAGAUCAAUGUCAUUAUCAUCAUCUUCAUGCUGGGAAGAGCUGUGUUGAGAGUAAUCUUGUUUGUGGUCCCACCAUGAAAUAAUCGUGUUACUAGGAUAAUCAGUGUCCUUCAUGCUAUUGGAAGCAGUGUCCAUAGGAGAAAUAUCCCCAAAAGAAGCUUGGAUGUGCUCCUGCAUUUCUUUCAUGACUCGAAACUUGAUCUCUUGGGAUGAGAGCCCAGGAUGGGCUUUUGUUAAUUUUUCCCGAAUGAUUGAAACAGGAUUGUCUGUAAAGGAUUCUUUAGGAACUGGUGAUGGAGUAUGACGGGAAGCAUAUAAUUGUUCUAGCUUUUGAAUAUCAGGAGUAAUGGUUAAUAAUUUUUUCUCGAUGGGACAUUUUGCCCACCAUUUGUAAUGGUAUUGUCGGCAGAGACCAUGAAAACCUUCAGAAGCUUGGAAUUGACAACUGUAAGUCCAGGCCCAAAUCCAAGGGAUUAAAUAAUCCGCUAGAAAAAAGAGGAGUGAUUUUCCUCGAAUAGUAUCUUGUCCUUCGAACAAAUGAUGAAAUUGGAGAUAAGGUUUAAAAAGAACUUUUAGCUCUGAUGGAAAAAAAUCCAGAUUAGGCCCAAAUUUAAAAAACCAAUUGUAAAACCAAUUAGGAAUUUCAUUGUUUUCUUUUUUGAAAUCUUCAUCAAAGUAGAAGAACCAAGAAUGUUUCCUUUGAGGAUUUUGGUAAAAGAAGGAAUAGGACCAUGCGUCCAUAUAAUCCCAAUAAUUAUAGGAUUGAUUAUAAUUAUGGUAUGGACCACGUAAUUCCCGCAAUUUAUUGGGGUCUCCCCAAUCAGAAGAUUUGAGGACCAUAUGAAUCAUUGCUUUACUGUAAGCAAUGGGUGAAUUAAGAGUAUUACCCUUUCUAUUAUGUUCAAAACUAACUGAUUUAGUUUCUUCUAAAAUUGAUUCAUAGAAAUAUCUAUGUUUUCCACCUCGGAUAGGACUAUUAUCUUUUUCAUCAAAAUAUUUUUGACCCAAAAUUAUGGGAUCUAAAAGCCAUUUCUCAUCCUCUGAAUUAAGGAUCACAAGUAGUUCUGUGUAAUUUUUUAAGAACAACUUGGGCUUAUUGUUGCCUAAUAAGGCUUCUUUCAUAGUUUUGUCCAUUGGGACUUUUAUAUUUUUGUCCAUUGGGACUUUUCCAGAAGAACCCGAAUUAGGGUCGAUUAGGCUCAAUUUGCCUUUACCUGUAAUUGAAUAACCCGAAUUAGGGCCGGUAAGGCUCAAUUUGCCUUUUCCACGUCCUUGCCCCACAUGUGGUGCUGGACUAUGAUUACUCAUCUCUGCAAAUAUUCGCGGGUAAGGAAAUCAAGAAGAGAAUUAUUAUCUCCUUUUAUAAAUUCUAUUUGAAAUUCAAAUACCGACAGAAUUGCUUGCCAUCUGGCAAAAAUAUGUUUAGAUGCUAAAUUUUUAACAUCUUUUUCAAUAAUAUCUUUUGCCGAACUACAAUCAAUUCGUAACAAAAAUUCUUGAUUUAUUAAAUCAUCUUGGAAUUUGUUAACACAAUUUACUAUAGCCAACAUUUCUUUUUUAACAGUCGAAUAUUUGACUUGAGCAUUUUUCCAAACGCCAGAAUGAAAUCUAAUUAGAUCCUCUUUAUUAGUCAAAUAAUUUUUCUGUUUAAGUAUACCACCAUAUCCUCUAUUAGAGGCAUCUGUCUCAACAAUUUUCAGGCCAUUCGGACUUGCCAGAGAUAAGCAAUGUUUUAUCUUUUGAACAGCUUUUGUAUGAUCCAAGGACCAUGGUUCAGGAUUUUUACGAAGUCUUUCAUAAAGAACUUUGGUGUCCAAAGCUAUAUCUUUGUAAUAAUCAGAGAUGUAGUUAAGGCUUCCUAAGAAUCUCUGUAACUGUUUUUUAUCUCUUAUUUCAUCAGGGAAUUUUGAUGCAAAUUCUAUGGAUCUAUUAAUAGGGAUAAUUUUUCCUUGACAAAUAUUAUGUCCUAAAAAACGAAUUUCGGUUUUAAAAAUCUUCAUUUUUAGUGCAGAAACAACUAAACCAUUUUUCUUAAUAAGAUGAGAAUAUAUAUUUAGAUGUUUAAAAUGUUGAUCAAUAGACUUGGAAAAAAUUAGUAUAUCAUCAAUAUAAACAAUACAAAAUUCUGUAUAAGCAUUAAAAAUUUCAUUCAUAAUAUUCAUGAAUUCUGAAGGAGCAUUUUUCAAGCCAAAAGCCAUAACAUUCCAUUCAUAAUGUCCAAAGGGAACAAUAAAAGCAGUUUUAUAUUUAUCUUGUUCUGCAAUUUGCACUUGCCAGUAUCCUGACUUUAAAUCAAAUUUGGAAAAUAUACAAGCAUCAUUUAAACGUUUCAAUAAGUCUUUCUUAUUAGGAAUAGGAUAGCGAAUCCAUUGAAGUACCUUAUUAAGGGGUUUGUAAUUGAUAACUAAUCUAGGAAUUCCUCUUUCUUGUUCAACAUUUUUAUUAACAUAAAAGGCUGCACAACUCCAACAAGAAGAGUUUUUCCUAAUAAGCUGUUUAUCUAGGAGACCUUGAAUUUCAGUCUUACAUAAUUCCAUAUAAAUUUUAUUCAUCUGAAUUGGUCUAGCCUUAGUAGGGAUCAUGUUUUCGUUAAAACCUUCAAUAUAGGGUAAUUUAACUAUGUGUUGUUUUCUAUCCCAAAAAGCAUUAGGGACAUCGCUGCAUAUUUCCUUCUGAAAUUGUUUUUCUAAGGAAAGAAUUUUUAAUAGCAAAUUGCUCUAAUUGUCUAUCAAUAGAGGCAUAGCCUAUUUCUUAAGAUAAAAAAUUGAUUUGUUCUUCUUUUAAAAAUAAAGUCUCUUGUAAUUGAUUGAUAUAAUUUAUCUUGGGCUUAAUGAUAAAUUUAAAAAUUAUCUUUUUCCCCUCCAUAGUGGUAUGAAUACCAUUAUUAUCAAUCCUUUCAAUGGGCCAGAUAAGGCUUAAAAAGGGUCUUCCUAAGAUUACCAUUUGAGAUAAAUUACCAGAUAAUACAAAAGGUGUAUUAAUACAAAUACCAUCAUUGCAUACCAAAACCUUCGAUAGUUUAUAAUUUAUCCUCAUAGGAGAACCAUUAGCCGUAUUUAAUGCAUACUUAGUUUUCUCAAAAUACUUUGUAGGAACUAGUCAUUCUCUUAUACAAUUAAGGUCUGAACCACUGUCAACCAAGGCAAUAGUUUCCAGAGUAAAUUCUUGAUUAAUAACCAAUUUUACAUUAAUAUGCCAUUUUUGACUGGUAGAGUGAUUUAGGGACAAUAAAUCUCCAGUAGUCUCUAUUUCCGGUAAAGAAAUUGAAUUAUUCUGAAGUAAAUAAAUUUUUCCAUUUAAGAUUUUAAUAUCUGAUUUAAGGUUAUUAAUUUCACCUUUAAGGUCAGAAAUGGUAUAUUUAUUAACCAUAGAAUUAGAAUUAGUAUUAUGAAAAUCAUUAUCAAAAGAAGAAAGGGACUUAGAAGUAUUUUCUAAAUAACUUUGAAAAGCUUGUCUUCUUUCAACAGGAUUAGAAAUUUUAUUGAUAACAUCUAAAAUUAAGGUCUGAUUUUUACUCAAGACAUUUAUACUAGGCCUGUUUAUUAACAUGUCAUAAUUCCUAGAAGUUUUUUGAUAAAAACUUUUAGUUAAUUUUAAUUCACUAUUAGUGAUAUCCAUAAAACCAUAUUUAAAAGGCUUAACUAACCUGAUUAAAUCAUGUGAGGAAAUAAACUCUCUUUUUUAUCGUAUCAAUAAUCAGUGUAAAAUUAUUCGUUUUCGGAUAUUGAUUAAAAACAAAUUGUUUUUUGAAAUUAGAAACGAAUUGUUGUUUGAAAAAUACUUGAUUAGAACUAUCAUUUCCAAAUUUCUGACGAAAAGAUUUCUUAGAGAUUUUUCUUUGAGAAAUAAAAUUUUUAAUACUAGGUGACAAAACACGUAUAGUAUUAUUAAAUUGAUUAGGAUAUUUCCCUAUAUAAUAGUUCUCAGUUAAUUUCUGAGUGUGAAAUACUUUAUUACUAGAGGUUAAUUUUGAAACAAUAAUUUCUUUUCUAGAAGAAAUGAGAGUGACAUCAUGCUUAUCCUUUAGACUGUCGUUAAUAUCACUGUCAGUUUUAACAGGAAUAUCCCUAUGUUCCUCCUCUUGUCUGACAUUGGUAUUAUUGUUUCCAAUAAUUUCAAUUUUAUUGGAUACAGUAUUAAUAUCCUGUGAUAAUUCAAUAAUAUUAUUAUUAGUCAAAGUCUUAGCACUUAAUUCAGAUUUAGAACUAUUAUUAGUCCAAUAAUUAAAAUAGUCUUUGGCUUCAGAAGAUUCUAGAAUAUUACUCAUUUUUUGGACAUAUUGUGCAAAAGGAAUAAUAAUUCUAGUCUUUUCUAAAUGAUUAUAAUAUCUAUUUUUAAUAAAUUCAUGUUGGGCUUUAUUAUAAUUUUCCCAAUACCAUUUACGAAAGGCAUCAUAUUUUGAACUUUUAAAUUCAUUAUUGAUGGUUACUCGAUCAAUGAUAAAUUUAUCUGUCGGUUCUAUCAUAUUCAUAGAAGAAAUCCAAAUAGUCUUUUUAAUUUUUUUCCCUAUAAGGGAUUAAAGGAUUAAAAUACUUAUCAUUUUCCCCCAUCUUAGAAUUAUCUAAAAGCUAAAAUAAAAGCAGAUAACACGAAGGUUAUACGUGUCAAUAAGGAGUUAGGGAUCAUGCAGUUCUUAAUAUCAUACUAAUUGUUUCAGAAAAGAGAACACUUAGAAUUAUAUGCUUCAGAUCAAUAUCCAUGAUUAAUACUGACAGUCAACGAUUUAAGUCACAACUGACAACUAUUUCAUAUCUUAAUUCAUAAUUAAUUUCAACAGUCAACGAUUUAUGUCACAGCAAAUAAUAAUCUCAUAUUCAGAACUAUGAUGAACUUCAACAGUCAACGAACAAAAUCCCUAAACGCCUAACGACCAUCUGCCUGCGGCUAAACGGGAAAAAACGCGACGAAGUCUAUAUUCAUCAUAACUCAGCAUACUUAAUUAUUACAGCCGGAGACUACAAGUAGUCCUACGCGACGGAGUUGAUAUUAAUCAUAAAUUAAACACAAAACAAUUAUUAGUCAGAGACUACAAAGUAGUCCAACGCGACUAUGUCAAAAGAUUAAUCAUAAAUCUCAUUAAGAUUAUAGAUAAUAUUCUAACAAGGUUUUGAGCAAUAGAGGUCGGUUUACACGUGAGUGCUCAGACCCUCAUUACUGCUACUGUCAGAGGCUACCAGUAGCAGCUUGACAAUUGAUUAUAUAUAUAUACAUUUCUUAUCCUUCAUAGUAUUCAACAUCACUGUAUCACGUGCAUGGUGACAGGCUUUAAACUAGUGUAAUAUAAACUUGUACAAAAAAAUCAAUAAAAGACAUUCAUAAAUGAGAGACCAAGCAAGCCAUGAAGCACAAUCAGCACAGAUGUGAGAUGAUCCCUCAGGCUUAGUCAUAAUAAGCUCUAUGUAUGAUGUGCAUGAAAACAUGCUAAAAAGUGAACCAAAAACAAAAUCAAAAUAUCAUUAAUUUCUUAAUUUCAAAAAAGAAAAAAAGUCGAGUUUGAACAUGUCGUCAAGCACAACCUAUAAAGAUGUGAGAUGAUCCCAUUCCCUCGGGCAGUCAAAUCACAUUAAGCUACAACAUCAAUAUUUACUGUGCAUAACGCCAUGUACAAAGAAUAUUAUAUUAGGAGAUAAAAUCAACAAAGUUUAAUAAAACACAAACAAACAAAAAAAGCAUCACGCAUAAUGUACACAUAUGUGAUCCCAUCAGGCUUAUAAACUUCAUCAUCUAUAAUUUCAUUAUUCUAGUAUACAACAUGAAACAAUGCUCCGAAGUCAGAGGGAGAGAAGUAACUACAAAACCAAGCAACACUUUCUAAAUUCUGUAAAAAGCACAUAAUUUCUGAGUAUAUUAUCAAAGACAAUCUACAAAUACGUGAAAUUAAUCCUUUGACCUUUUUCCAUUAAGUUUCAUCGUCUAUUGAUUAAAAUAAGAUUCCUAUAUAUAACAAUAUAGAAUUCGAAUUUCUAUAUGAAUGAUGACUCUGUGCAUAAUACCCCAAGUCCCCAACCCCAAAUAACAUCUCUAUCUCACUAUCUGAGACAAUUACAACUCUUAUAAAAGUAUUAAUGUGCCAAACGACCCUUAAAUCAAAAAUCCAAAAAAGACCCAACAACCUACUAAACAAAAACACAACCAACAGAAGAAUUGAACCCUAGAGAAUUUACACUAAUAACUAAUAUGUAUAACAAGUAAAGAUUGAAAGAGACGACCUUAACCUUACUUACUUAUUACCUCAUCAGAGAAAUUCUUCUCGAUCGUCGUCUAACCUUGUUUAUGGUUCACACUUUCACCAAUCAACAACAUCAAAU
Molecule: long non-coding RNA, 9543 nt
Filed under: Aquilegia coerulea
Lineage: Eukaryota; Viridiplantae; Streptophyta; Magnoliopsida; Ranunculales; Ranunculaceae
Description: long non-coding RNA (ACOE_LNC001564)
Source: RNAcentral